CGUUUUCACCAACAACCCCUUACCGUUUCCCUAUCUAAAAGCUACUUUUAAUAAGGACCCCUCCCAAUUUGACACCUACCUAAAUUCAUUUUCACCACACUUGUACAUGGAUCCCUUAAGUAAGUGACAGAUUACUAGUUCUACAAACGAUAAUGCAAAGUCGAUAUUUUAUCGAUAAAAUGAUUUUUCUGUACUUCUUAAGAAAUAAACGUCUAUCGAGUAUAUAUUACUAAAGCCUAAGAAAAAGACAAGCUAGUGAAAUUGCUGACGUCUCAUAGAGACACAAUAUUAAACAAAAAACGGAUGGGACCACGAACGAAGCCAAAAACAAAGCUUGGAUCCAGUCACAAAUAGUUUUAAUGCGAUAGGAACCGUUUACAGUUUCAGGUGGUGCGAGAAAUUGGAAAGACGUGUAAAAACAUGCUGCGCCCAGCCCACCCCAAAUUGAAUUGGUGCAGGAGGAUGAUGAUAAUGUUUAUUACAUCAUAUGAGGACUAAUAUUAAAAUAUUUGUUUACUAUCUUUGUUUUAAUUUACAUAAUUUAUUAUGUUCAAUGUUAGCCUACUUCUUACCUCCAGAGGGUAUCCCCUAUCACCUAGGAGAUAGGCUCCUCCAUAUUCACCAUUUUCGAAUCAUUGGUAUCUAUUGCAGUUUUGGUAUUUAAGGCCAAUUCAAACCUGAGCGAUAUUUGCUGCCGCUGUGGGUAAAGGUAGAUACCGCGCCGGUUUCGCUCAGGUAUUUAGUAUCAAGUAUAGUUACCGGCACGGAUAUUGAGCUCUCGGCGGAAGAGUGGGGAUCGCUUUGCGCACUGUACACAAGGCAAUAAACCAAUAAAUGGCUUCUGCGCAAGUGAAGGUCAGGGCUCAAUAUCCGUGCCGAUAACUAUACCGCGGCUAGAGCGACCUGAGCGAUAUCCACUGCCGCUGUGGGUAGAAGUACAUACCGCGCGGCAGCAGCGGCAUGCAUCCCGAACAUCAACAGUAAUAUUAACGCAUACCCACUGGGUUUUCUCUGUCGCAGGUGGUAGCGAAUACCGCUUAGGUCUGAACAGUCAUAUUACCGCAUACCCACAGGGUUUUCUCUG
Molecule: long non-coding RNA, 1084 nt
Organism: Helicoverpa armigera (cotton bollworm)
Lineage: Eukaryota; Metazoa; Arthropoda; Insecta; Lepidoptera; Noctuidae
Exons: 3
Source: RefSeq, a predicted model, not a curated record